AUUGAACGCUGGCGGCAGGCUUAACACAUGCAAGUCGAGCGGAGCGAGGGUGCUUGCACCUUAGCUUAGCGGCGGACGGGUGAGUAAUGCUUAGGAAUCUGCCUAUUAGUGGGGGACAACAUUCCGAAAGGGAUGCUAAUACCGCAUACGCCCUACGGGGGAAAGCAGGGGAUCUUCGGACCUUGCGCUAAUAGAUGAGCCUAAGUCGGAUUAGCUAGUUGGUGGGGUAAAGGCCUACCAAGGCGACGAUCUGUAGCGGGUCUGAGAGGAUGAUCCGCCACACUGGGACUGAGACACGGCCCAGACUCCUACGGGAGGCAGCAGUGGGGAAUAUUGGACAAUGGGGGGAACCCUGAUCCAGCCAUGCCGCGUGUGUGAAGAAGGCCUUUUGGUUGUAAAGCACUUUAAGCGAGGAGGAGGCGCUCUAGGUUAAUACCCUAGAUGCGUGGACGUUACUCGCAGAAUAAGCACCGGCUAACUCUGUGCCAGCCGCC
RNAcentral lists this ribosomal RNA (494 nucleotides) under uncultured bacterium. Its description in RNAcentral is "bacterial SSU rRNA". It matches the Rfam family "Bacterial small subunit ribosomal RNA", at positions 30 to 516 of the family's 1533-position model. The record is from RNAcentral.